GUGCCUCACAUCCGAGUGGAAUUUCGUGAAACGAUAUGGAGAGAGGAGAUGCAACAGGUCUAUCUUGGCAAGGCCAUUAUCCCUGAAGAAGUGGACAAGUAAAUAGCAAGGAAUUGCUCAUAGUCCAUUCAUAAUGUGAUUAUGUAUAACUAUAAAGGAAGCGAAGAAUUUUGCUUGCUCAGUUAGAAUUUUGAGAAGGGCAGCAUGCAUCUGUUCAUGCUAACUGAGAACUGGAUCAACAUGCUAAAGAUAAAUUGAACUUUGUUCGAGAACCAAGACCAUAUACCUGAUAAAAUUGGUGUGACUUUGAUGACAUCUGGAUUACAGCAACAAGAUGGCAACAUUGUGCCCGCUGAAAUAACUGAAUGUGGUCUGCCAUGUUAGACGUAGCUUAAGGUAAAAUGAUAUUAUACAUCAUAGAAUGAAUUUUGUGGCGUUAGAAUAUAAUAGACAAUAAAAUGGGCAAAGGGCAAGAAUGAUCUCUUGCUUCCUUGUCUUUCAGAUGAAUGCUUCAUCAAAUUUUGAAUGUAUUUCUGAUCACAGUUUAAGAAAGUUUUGUAUUGUGAGCAAAGAAAUUUCAUUGUUU
RNAcentral lists this unclassified non-coding RNA (586 nucleotides) under Hevea brasiliensis (rubber tree). Lineage: Eukaryota; Viridiplantae; Streptophyta; Magnoliopsida; Malpighiales; Euphorbiaceae. The record is from RNAcentral.